AAAUCAAAUCAUAUAAAACAUAUGUCCAUGGCUUCAAAUUCACCUCUAACUAAAAAGAAAUUAGUUCCACAUGUUUAACAUAAUUGAAAAGCAAGUUAAAUUAAACAUGAAAACAGAAACAAAGAAAGAAAGAACUCUAGAAACUCCAAUGGUUGAAGAUUGCAUGCGACAAAGCCUUCCUCCUUUCCAAAGGUCACGGCAAAGCUCCUCUCUUUGGUGGAAUGGAAGUGUUGCGGCAAAAGGAUGGGGGAAGGUUAGAAAAUAUGGAAGAAUGGUGGUAGAUGGCUUGCGGCAAGGAAGAAAAAUGGCUAGAAUUGUGUUUUUGAGGUUUUUGGAUGUGUAGAAUGGUGUGGCUGGAAGUAUGGACGAAAAUUAGGUGAUUCAACCCUAAAAUAUGUAUUUAUAGGCACCACAAAACCCUAGAGAAAUCAGCACAAGUAAUGGGCUAGGGUUUAGGGUGCGGCAAGGGUAGAGAUCCACAAUGAAUUAGGGUUUCUAGAAAGCCUUGCAAGGCAAGGAAAAUAGGGUUUCUAGAAAGCUUAUUUCAUCUAGAAGCCCAAAGCCAAGAAUAGAAACUCUCAAAAAUGGAAACCUUCAAGAAUAGAAACUUCCAACAUUAGAAACUUUGGUUGCCAAUUCCGACUUCUUUGUUCUUCACUUUCAUUUCUUCAUUUCUUAAACUCAUUUGACCUUCAAACUUGUCCAUUCCCUAUGCUCCAUAAGCAUACAUUCCAUUUAAGCUCAUUUUUGCUCUAAAAUGCACCAAAAUGCACUUUCUUUGCUUUCAAUUGCCAUAUGAACCUACAAACACACGAAACUAGCUUAAAUCACUAUAAUAAACAAUAACUAACAACGUAAAUGCAAGAAAACAAGAUAACAAAGUCGCAUAAAUAUGCUCCUAUCAAAUACCACUCCAUUUUACCCUCCAUACUUUGCAUCAUUGCUCCAUUUUCAUCCUUGGACCAUUGCACAACACAAAUUCACCCUCCUUGCUGUGCAUUUCCCCCACUGCCUAAUCUGAUUCUCUAGGGUUUUUGGGGCCUAUAUAUACAUGUUUACAACCCUUGGCAAAGGGUUGAACCUCCCAUAUUCAUCAUUCAUCACAGAAAAUUCGUCCAUGCACACCCUAGGCAGCCAAACACCCCAAAAACACCAUUCUAGUGCCCAGAAAACAUAACAGCCACUCCACCUUCUUCCACCCUCUUUGCCGAGUUCUCUACCAUCCUCCAACCAUCAAACAUUCCUCCACACUCGCCCUAAACCUCUCCAUACCAUUCCCCAUCCAUUCUACACCAUAAAACUACCCAAAACAUCUUCACAACCCAAUCUGCCGCAAGCAAGGAAGGGGACAGAUUCACUACGAUUGUUUGGCUCUUCAUUCUGAGUUGUUGAACGAUUUUAGGUGUUUUCUAUCUUAUAUUUCAAUGUCUAAUUCAUAUAAUCUUUGUUUUGCUUUAAGCAUGAUUGGCUAAAUUCAUUUUGGCUAAGGGUGGAUUCAAAACCAUGAUUAUAUAUGUGAAAUAAAUUGAUUACUCUCGGUUAUCGUUGCAUGAGUCGUGAAUACAAUUUGCUUAACCGUUUGAUUUAGAACUUAUUCUUGUAUGUUGGUUGAGAGUGCACACUUAAUUUGCAUACUUGAAUUUGAUGCUAGGAUAUAAGUUUGUUUCACCUAAUCGUUAUGAAUUUAUAUUCGUAAGUAGUAAAGGUUGCUAGUCACGAUCGUGUUAAGUAGAUUCUUGGCAAGAGUAUCAUGCUUUUCAUAGUUACGAAUGCCUUGUCAAUGCUUAUGAGUUCCAAAGAACGUAAUGAUUCUAACCGUAUCUUUAUCAUGCUGUUCAUAUAAAGAACUUGUUAGGAAUAAUUUGUUUGCGAUGCAUAUUCAUCCAAUUCAAUGAUUCUAGGGAAAUCUGAAGGUUAAUUUAAGCGGAUCUAAUUAACUUGGAGUGUCGAGGUUCAUAACUUAUUCAAUUGAUAACUGGAAAUCGAUUUAGGUUGCAUAUAUUUCAUGUGUGGAGAAGAACCCCUUAGCCAUUCCAUCAUCCAUUGAUUCUUCAUAACUUUGUAUCCAAUCUGUUUCUCUUACAAUCUGCCAUUUAAGUUUAUUUUCGUCCAAAUCAAAUCCCCAAUUAUUUUGAAUUCCUAGAUUAAUUGGAAAGUGUGUUGGUUUAUGUUUUUAAGUGUUUUGGUACAAGUUAAAACCCAAAUUCGUCCAAUUUGAUGCUUUGUGUUCAAAACUGCCCAGAAAGUGUUUUUAAGGCAGUUUUGAAUCUUUUGAUUGCUGUUUUGAGUUUUUGGUUUGUUUUAGUAUUUUAAACGUGAGUUUUGCAUUCUUUGAGUCUAAUCUAGUGCUUUAAACUUUGUUUUUACAUUUCUAAGUCAGUUUUCAAGUGUUUAGCAAUCCCUCCUAAUCCC
RNAcentral lists this long non-coding RNA (2412 nucleotides) under Malus domestica (apple). RNAcentral's name for it is "long non-coding RNA (MDOM_LNC021266)". The record is from RNAcentral. Lineage: Eukaryota; Viridiplantae; Streptophyta; Magnoliopsida; Rosales; Rosaceae.